This 392-nucleotide ribosomal RNA is filed under the name uncultured bacterium. RNAcentral describes it as "bacterial SSU rRNA". It matches the Rfam family "Bacterial small subunit ribosomal RNA", at positions 30 to 426 of the family's 1533-position model. The record is from RNAcentral.
AUUGAACGCUGGCGGCAUGCCUUACACAUGCAAGUCGAACGGCAGCACGGGAGCAAUCCUGGUGGCGAGUGGCGAACGGGUGAGUAAUAUAUCGGAACGUGCCCAGUAGUGGGGGAUAGCCCGGCGAAAGCCGGAUUAAUACCGCAUACGACCUGAGGGUGAAAGCGGGGGAUCGCAAGACCUCGCGCUAUUGGAGCGGCCGAUAUCAGAUUAGCUAGUUGUGGGUAAAGGCCUACCAAGGCUACGAUCUGUAGUUGGUCUGAGAGGACGACCAGCCACACUGGGACUGAGACACGGCCCAGACUCCUACGGGAGGCAGCAGUGGGGAAUUUUGGACAAUGGGCGCAAGCCUGAUCCAGCAAUGCCGCGUGCAGGAAGAAGGCCUCGGUUGU